GGUGGGCUACAGUCCAUGGGGUCACAGAGUCGAACCUGCCUGAGCAACAGAGCAUGCGCUUUGUCCGAGUUGAACCGCUCAGCACAGCCUGUGUCAGGUGAGCCUAGGGUGGGCCAGCAUGGCUGGAAGUAGACGCGUCACAGAGAAAAUCCCCUUUCCUAGUAAGGGGCUCCUGCUGGCCGGGCCCAAGACACCUCUGGAAGUUUGCACAGACCCACCAGUGUCCAAGGCAAGUUAAAGCACACUCUGUCACAGAUUUUCACUCAGGUGUUUGUCUUUCUGAGCACGGUGAAGGGGGUUUAACCACGGUGUUCUCCAGGGGAAGAUGCUGGGGGGUUGCGGUUCUCCUGCAGGGAGGUGGGAGGUGCUCAGACGCGGGCGAGGCAGAGCCUUGCCUCUGGGGCACCAGGCUGAGGCAGAGCCCUCGGGGCCUCCGGGCCUGGUUGGGCAGCAGCCGGCUCACCCCCUUCCUGGUGGGAUGCAUGCAGGAUAUGAGCGGCAGCUGCCUGCUCCUGUACCCGGGGCUCCAGGACUGCAAGAUGGGGGCCGGCUUUGCUGCUCACGCUGGUGGUCGCCGCCCAGUCACCUUGGUGUCAGCUUGAGAAGGAAUCGGCUCCCUGGCCAGGCAUGAGUGCGGUGCCAGCCAGUCAUCAGAGGAGGUAGCUGGGGGCCCGGGGGCAGAUGGAUCGCAGCCUCCUAAUGGCUGGGCCGCUGCUCCCUCUCCGAAGCCCCUGGACACGGGGCCCUGUGCAGGCUGUGUGGAGCUGAGUGCCAAGGGGCCUGGAUGCACCAACUCUGCAGGCUUUGACCAUGGAACCCCUGGGCGUCCACUGGAGAAUCAACCUGAGAGGUUAGAGGCAGUCUCCCGCAGCUUUCAACACUGUUGUCGAGAAACGGAGAGCCCCCGUGGCCACUGAGCAGGUCUGUGAGUCUAGAUCGGGGUGAGUGUCAUGUGUUUCGUCACUUGUUCUGCAGACACGUCCAGGGCUUCCAGGCCAGACCUGCGUUGGUGCUGGGACAGCAGAUGACGCUCAUGAGGUCGGCCCUGCAGAGGCUUGGCCUGCGAAGCAUUCCAGGAGGUGUGGCUGGAGAUGUCACAGCCAGCCUGUGAACGGGAGCUGCAGGCUCGUCCCCGCCCGGCCUCCUGCCCUGGGGGGCUGUGGGGCUCCCCCAGGGGGCAUCGGGGUCCCUUCAAGGAGGGUGCUCCCAGCCGCAGGUCCUGAUGCCAUCCUCUGGCCUCUAGCUCGGGCAAGUUCUGGAAUUACUCUGGGCAGCAUGGGGCCUGUGACACCUGUGGGAGUGACCCUGCUCCGUGGGGUGCUGGAUGUGCCGCGGACAGCACGCCGCGUGUCUUGUGUCCUCCCUGUGAACUCUGUCACAGGAAGCUGGCUGCUCUCCGGGCACGUCACCCGUGGGCAGGUCCACUGGGCGUCCUGCAGGAGAGCCCGUGACAGCAGUGCUGCUCGCCCCUUCCAGAAAUGCAGACUCUGCUUUCACCGCUGGGCGAGAGUCACAGGAUCGCACGACCAGGCUAGGGCUGGCCCUGGACACAGGUCCCCCCGCCCAGCCCUCAGCACCCCGAGGUCUGGGCCGCAUCAGGGGCCCUGGAGGCAGGUCCCUUCAGGAGCCAGGCAGGGAGGCGGGCGUGGAGGCCGCUGUGGGGGAGGCUGUAAGGCGCCUGAGCCAGGCGGCUGGGGAGUACUGCCCACUGACAGCGACCUGUGGCUUUGAAGCUGUUUGUUAUGUGGCAUUACUGUAGGGUUUGGUAACUGAUACAGUCCCAUGGGCCAGAUUCACCUAUGGGGGUCCUGAUUGCGACCUUGGAGGUUUCCAAGACUUUUUCCCAUUCAGAAUGUGAUUCCACAAGAAGAGCUUAACUGUCUGUUCUCUUCCCUCCAGGGCUGUACAGCUAGAGAGGGUAACUUUCUGCCCAUUCUGCCUGGCAAUAGUCAUGUCCCACCGCCCUGCAGGGCCGCCCAGGGCUGGGCUCCUCUGAGGGUGCAGGGUAGACUGCCCGAGCCACAGGGACAGGAGAUGGCAAGCCAAGCAGAACAGCCGCCCGUGAGUCACCGUUCCAGAACCACCACAAAUGGCCCGCACCUGCUCACCCACCCCUUCCCGCACCUGCCAGCCUUACCAGGGGCUUUUGGCCGCUGGACAGAGUGGGGCUGGCGCACACUGACCACCUCCAGAAGACAGUGACAGAUGUUAGCACCAGCAGGUCCUGCUCCUCCUGUCAGCAGAUGUCAAGACAUGAAAAAUUGGGUUAUUUGCUUGUAAAUGUGGGUUCAGGAGCCUCUCCAGGCCCUGGCGUUGGCGAGCUCCAUCAGUGCUCGUGCAGGCGUGAGCUGGGGAACCAGAGAAGGCACCUCAGAGCGCCAUUCAGCACCAGGCCCGCGGCCUGUGGCUCAAGGUUGCAGAAGAAGGUUGAAACAGGCGAGAACUUGACUCUGGCUGGCCUUUCUCCGGCCAGGUCCUGCUCGACAGCGUUCAUCCCCAUGGAGGUUCUAG
Long non-coding RNA from Capra hircus (goat), 2511 nucleotides. RefSeq lists it as uncharacterized. The transcript has 3 exons. Lineage: Eukaryota; Metazoa; Chordata; Mammalia; Artiodactyla; Bovidae. The record is from RefSeq and is a predicted model, not a curated record.